GCGGAAGUCAUCAUAAAGUAAGAUUUAUAUUUUAUAGAGUAAAAUAUAUUUUAUCUAGAGUAAAAUAUAUUUUAUCAUAAAGUUCUCUUGAUAACUGUUCUUAUCUAAAUAUUUCUUUAAUAUUAUUUGUUAUAUAUUCUAUGUAUAACAUAUCUUGGGUUCUUUGGUACAUGUAUAAAUUUUCUUGUAUUAAUUGUUUUAAUAAUCUUAUAUUUUUCAUAGUUUCUAUCCAAUAUUCUAGAUAGUCAAAGUUCAUUUUAAUCUAAAUCUAUUUCUAAAUCGUAUAUUAUCUAUUCUUUCUAUAUCUAAUUUUUGUGAAUCUAUUUCAUACCAUUCUUGAUUUAAUAUGUCUUCUAUAUCAUGAUCAAAUAUUUUUUCCCAUCUAAUUCUUUUUUUAGGUCAACAAUUUCUAUAUCUUUAAGUAUAUAUAAGAUCAAAGUUUUAUAACUUUUUAUUUCAUCAUACAUUGUAAUCAUGUUUAUUUAUUUAUGCAAGUUUGUUUUCAAUUAUUCCUUCCUAUCAUAUCAUAAUUCAAUUAAAUUCAUAUUAGUUUAUUAUAAACUAGAUUAUCGUUAUCAUGUUUUUCGGUCACUACUAGCAUCGUACUUUUGCGGAUAAUUACUGCUUAUCAGCGCUUCAACCUUGUGUAUUCCCCUAACGGCAUUCCUCGCCUACCGGUUUCCACUGUGGGAUGGCAUAGUCUAGCAGUUUUCUCCCUGUUUCCCGUUUACUAGCAAACUAGAAUUCAUGAUUCAAAUAUUUCUAGUAUAUAAUAACUACCACAAAUUUAAACAAUCAUAUAUAUGAUAAUCAGGAAUAUAUGAAAUUAGUUCUGCAUAAUUGUUAAACAAUAUACCUUUGUCUCUUGAUUUUUCAUGCUAUCUAAAAUAUCUGACUUGAUUUCGG
Molecule: unclassified non-coding RNA, 906 nt
Filed under: Hevea brasiliensis (rubber tree)
Lineage: Eukaryota; Viridiplantae; Streptophyta; Magnoliopsida; Malpighiales; Euphorbiaceae
Source: RNAcentral